CGUAGAUGACCUGCCCUUUAGUGGGGAAUAACAUCUCGAAAGAGAUGCUAAUACCGCAUAAGCUCUCUAUCGUUGGGUAGAGAGGAAACGCUCCUUGUAAGAGGGGUGGCUGAAGGAGGGGUCUGCGGCGGAUUAGCUAGUUGGUGGGGUAAAAGCCUACCAAGGCGACGAUCCGUAGCUGGUCUGAGAGGACGGCCAGCCACACUGGGACUGAGAUACGGCCCAG
Molecule: ribosomal RNA, 226 nt
Filed under: uncultured bacterium
Lineage: Bacteria
Description: partial 16S ribosomal RNA
Rfam family: Bacterial small subunit ribosomal RNA
Source: RNAcentral